This 207-nucleotide non-coding RNA is filed under the name Virgibacillus necropolis. RNAcentral's name for it is "T-box sequence". It matches the Rfam family "T-box leader". From Rfam's summary of the family: Uncharged tRNA acts as the effector for transcription antitermination of genes in the T-box leader family. T-boxes are found upstream of many aminoacyl-tRNA synthetase genes and some amino acid biosynthetic genes usually in Gram-positive bacteria. The record is from RNAcentral. Lineage: Bacteria; Bacillati; Bacillota; Bacilli; Caryophanales; Bacillaceae.
AAAAAAUCGAUGAAGAAAAGAGUAGUUACAAAGGUCAGUAGAAGCGAGCCGGGAUGGUGAAAGCCGGUGCUGGACAUGUAAUGAACCGCAUUUCUGAGAUGUCAGUUUAAGCUGAUCGGAUCGCCUCCGUUAUAAGCGCCAAGCCGAUUCCGCAAGAAGCGGAAUAAUUAGAGUGGUACCGCGGAUGUAUAAACGUUCGUCUCUUAU